Long non-coding RNA from Nothoprocta perdicaria, 1586 nucleotides. RefSeq lists it as uncharacterized. Lineage: Eukaryota; Metazoa; Chordata; Aves; Tinamiformes; Tinamidae. The transcript is spliced from 3 exons. The record is from RefSeq and is a predicted model, not a curated record.
UAGGAUAUUUCCAUUUUCUUUUUGCCUGACAAGAUCCACCUCCAUGAAACGUGAGCCCUAAUAAAUAAUAGGGCACUCUGUGGACAGAAAAGACUAGACUUAUCACUUCUUGCAUGGUGCUGAAAACAGAAGAGCAGUAUCUGCAUGAAGAUCCUUCAAAGAACAUCAAGACUAGCAUGAUCUUUCUGUAAAUAUCCUCUUAUUCYGUGGCUGUCAUUAGAGGACCUGGAUCAGGCUGUGCUGCCCAGUCUCCAAUACCAUCAUCACUUAGAGCUAACAUGGCAUGGUGCCAGGUGAGAUUUUGGAGGAACUGAUGUAUCAUUAGAAGUUUUCCUCAUGCAGCAGAAAUGGACUACACCUUAUGGCUAGUGGCAGUCAUGGAUUUUUGUGUUUACCUCCUUCAUAUACCUCACUGGUUGCAACCAUACACACCUGUGACAGGGAAGCAUCUUAUGUCUCAGGGGAAGCAAGGGACGGUACUGCCUGCUGGCCUGCAUAAGAUGCUGGAAGGCUCUGUUAGCAUGGAGGCACGUGAUGAGGAAACCUGUGCUAACACAGGAACUUCCAUGGGGAAGAGAGAGUUUUCAAUGAGGGCACCUGCAGUCAGAGUACAGGCAAGCACUGCCUACAGCCUCUAACGCUCUGACACUCGCUGCAUUCACUAGAGACCUUCUAUYGCUCCUUCUCAAACACAGAUCAUCUGCCCGUGAGCAGAGAUUAUUGGUGUUCUUCAAUCUGAACUCACAGCUGGAGCCUUCAUCUUGGAAACGGGCAUGGUUCCACAUAACAAGACCAGAUGCWAGAACAAAUUGAGCAAAAACCUAAUAAUCAAGCAUCUAAAUAGGGGCAAUGCAUUAACCAUGGUUUGAGAAGAACUGCUAGUCAAACAGCAUCCAGUGAGCACCAUAGGGGAAAUCCAGGGAAACAUUCCUGCCCCGUUACCCUUUCAGCACAUCACACUGAGGGGCUGUGUGGGAAGCACCUUUGCCACUGCAGACAGCAGGGGAGCUGGAAUGCRCUGGCCAGGUGACCCUGCGGCCACUUUUCUGCCUGUAUUGAGCCACCAUGUGCAGGCAGGRACAUGGUGGCCCACCCCAACCUGUGGCUGCCAGCUCUGUGACCCAGCUCUGAGUCUAGCAGCUCUUCAGUCAUUGGGAGAAGUUUCCUUUCCAGUUUACAUGGCAGAGAAGGCUGUGUUUGAUGAGCCAGUUAAACAGUAUCCUCUACCUGUUGCCCCAGGAAAGGCAUUCAUGUGAAGGACAGUUUCCUCAAAUGCUUGCUGAAGACCAUGCCUGACAGCUCUCCAGAAUACAGGCCAAUACCAGGGACUGUAGAUCCCAGCACUCAGUGCAUGUUUGCUGGCUGAUCUGCAUGAGGCAAGUGGUCAACCCUCCACCUCUGUCUUCUGGAACURACACAGCCCUGCUGGGAGGAUUACACCAACAAAUUCAUCAUUGCUGCAGCAAGCAUCACUGUCACCACUACUGCGAUCUGGAAAGCUGCUGCCAACUGCAGCUGAACCACUACAUCUGCUUGGCCAGCUCCCAUGGCCAGCGGAGGCUGCUGGAGUGCAGACUUGUGCUCCC